UCAAACUUGGUCAUUUAGAGGAAGUAAAAGUCGUAACAAGGUUUCCGUAGGUGAACCUGCGGAAGGAUCAUUAAUAAAGUUUGAUGAUAUAAUUCUUUUUAUAUCAAUCACAUCUGACUUUGUGGUAAUAUUGAAGUAAAAGCUUUUCUGCAAAGAAAAGUGAAAAGAGGUAAUGUGAAAAGGUUAAUUGAUAAUUGUGUAAAAAGCAAUGAACAAAAAAUCUUUUUCGACCUCUAAACUUUAACAAUAAACUCUUUUUUUUUUUACUUGACUGAAAUAAAAUUAAAAAUUAGAUUUUAUAUCUGAUUAAAAUUUUAAACAACUUUCAACAACGGAUCUCUUGGUUCUCGCAUCGAUGAAGAACGCAGC
Molecule: unclassified non-coding RNA, 369 nt
Filed under: uncultured fungus
Lineage: Eukaryota; Fungi
Description: partial contains small subunit ribosomal RNA, internal transcribed spacer 1, and 5.8S ribosomal RNA
Rfam family: Eukaryotic small subunit ribosomal RNA (bases 1-73)
Source: RNAcentral